Molecule: transfer RNA, 69 nt
Filed under: Marmota monax (woodchuck)
Lineage: Eukaryota; Metazoa; Chordata; Mammalia; Rodentia; Sciuridae
Also listed under: 1 other name
Rfam family: tRNA
About the family: Transfer RNA (tRNA) molecules are approximately 80 nucleotides in length. Their secondary structure includes four short double-helical elements and three loops (D, anti-codon, and T loops). Further hydrogen bonds mediate the characteristic L-shaped molecular structure. tRNAs have two regions of fundamental functional importance: the anti-codon, which is responsible for specific mRNA codon recognition, and the 3' end, to which the tRNAs corresponding amino acid is attached (by aminoacyl-tRNA synthetases). tRNAs cope with the degeneracy of the genetic code in two manners: having more than one tRNA (with a specific anti-codon) for a particular amino acid; and 'wobble' base-pairing, i.e. permitting non-standard base-pairing at the 3rd anti-codon position.
Source: Rfam by way of RNAcentral
GUGAAUAUAGCUCAUUUGGUAGAGCAUUUGCCUCACAUGCACAAAGCCCUGGGUUCAAUCCCCAGCACC